This 1067-nucleotide long non-coding RNA is filed under the name Marmota monax (woodchuck). The record is from RNAcentral. Lineage: Eukaryota; Metazoa; Chordata; Mammalia; Rodentia; Sciuridae.
CACUACGGUAAGUCAGCCACAUGCUCCUGGAGAGCCCCCAGAGCCCCUGACCCACUCAGGAACUACAUCACUCUCUUCUUCUCAUUAAAAAAUAAUCCUUCAGUUUCUUAAACUGCACGGAGGGUUCAUGGAUGAUUGUUUUAUUAUUCUCUAACCUAGACUGAUGUGCCUUUUAUGCAUUUGAAAUAUUUCAUUAAAAUAGUAAAAGCAAUUAAAUUAAAACCAAUUCUCUUAGUGGCAGUUUUAAGGACCUUCCUCAGCAUAGGGAUAUUUGCUGCUUCCCUUUUUUUCUCUCCACACACGAUUUAGCAACAGAGCGUGCCUUUUCCUGAGGAAGGGGAUUAGCGAGGCCUGAGCCUUUCCACAUGGCUCAUGUUCACUGAGUGGUCAGAGGACAUGGGCCACCUGCAUGGCACCAGGGACAGGGCUUUGCCUUUGCCUGCCCUCAGGGAGGAGGGCACCUAAGCUGCCCUGACUCGAGGUGGGAAGAGUCCUGGGGCAGGACUAGGAACAGGUAGGAGGGGAGGCUGCCCAGGGCAGUGUGAAGACACAUCUAGUCUUCAAUCAGAAAAUGGGGGCUGGGAGUGCAGCUUCGUGGCAGAACAUAUGCUUAGCAUGAGUGAGACCCUGGGUUCAAACCCUAGCAACAGCAAAGAAAGGAAGGGGAAGGGAAAGGAAGGAAAAGAAAAGAAAAAAGGCAGGACCGGAAAAAAUAAUUCUUGGCUCUCUUCAACCCAGUUUCCUCCAUCUGCGUCCACUCUGCCAGCCACUUCCUGCCUUCAUGCCUUCAAACCUGCAGACCUUCUAAAUAUUCUACCCAAUGAGAAAUGAAGGUCCUGCCUGUGAUUAUAAACUAACUCAGAAUGGCAGAGGGUUUCAUUCCCCAGGCCAGUGCUGGUUGAUCUGUAAUGGCUGCCUAGAGAUGUGGGUGGAGACCAAGUCUAAAGCCAUCUGAGGCUCAGGGGGAAGGGUGUCAACAUUGAUUGGUGAUGUCUGCCAUGAGAGCCAAAUGGGAAAAUGUUGGCGUGGGUGCCAGAGACUUUCUAACUAAGGGACCCAACAAAGAA